This 122-nucleotide transfer RNA is filed under the name Escherichia coli. Its description in RNAcentral is "tRNA-OTHER". The stretch from base 2 to 74 matches the Rfam family "tRNA". From Rfam's summary of the family: Transfer RNA (tRNA) molecules are approximately 80 nucleotides in length. Their secondary structure includes four short double-helical elements and three loops (D, anti-codon, and T loops). The record is from RNAcentral. Lineage: Bacteria; Pseudomonadati; Pseudomonadota; Gammaproteobacteria; Enterobacterales; Enterobacteriaceae.
CGCGGGGUGGAGCAGCCUGGUAGCUCGUCGGGCUCAUAACCCGAAGGUCGUCGGUUCAAAUCCGGCCCCUCGUCGGGCUCAUAACCCGAAGGUCGUCGGUUCAAAUCCGGCCCCCGCAACCA